RNAcentral lists this unclassified non-coding RNA (320 nucleotides) under uncultured fungus. Its description in RNAcentral is "partial contains 18S rRNA, ITS1, 5.8S rRNA, ITS2 and 28S rRNA". The record is from RNAcentral. Lineage: Eukaryota; Fungi.
AAGGAUCAUUACUGAAAUAAAAGGUUUGGUUUGGAGGCUGUCGCUGGCAUCCUCGGAUGCACUUGCACGCCCCCUUGCCAUUCCGGCAUUCACCUUUUCCACCUGUGCAUUCUCAUGUAGGCCAGAUAUAUAGCCAUCAGUGGCAUCCUCUGGAGAUGCUUCUUUGGACUUGCUGUUGCAGCUCCACAUUGCGACAGCUCCUCCUGUAGAGUUUGGCGUGUCUGGUCUAUGCAUUUUAUCAAACCCCCCUUCUUAUUGUACAUGUGUGUGGUAUUUGAAGCAUUUAUGAACAACUUUCAACAACGGAUCUCUUGGCUCUC